UGCCGGGUGGUGUAAGGGUAACACAGCAGACUUUGGAUCUGCGUAUCCAGGUUCGAAUCCUGGCCCGGCAGCCG
RNAcentral lists this transfer RNA (74 nucleotides) under Chloroflexota bacterium. RNAcentral's name for it is "Chloroflexi bacterium (sediment metagenome) tRNA-Gln". It matches the Rfam family "tRNA". Rfam says of the family: Transfer RNA (tRNA) molecules are approximately 80 nucleotides in length. The record is from RNAcentral. Lineage: Bacteria; Bacillati; Chloroflexota.